GAUGAAGAACGUAGCGAAAUGCGAUAAGUAAUGUGAAUUGCAGAAUUCAGUGAAUCAUCGAAUCUUUGAACGCACAUUGCGCCCGCCAGUAUUCUGGCGGGCAUGCCUGUACGAGCGUCAUUACAACCCUCAGGCCCCCGGGCCUGGCGUUGGGGAUCGGCGGAGCCCCCCGUGGGCACACGCCGUCCCCCAAAUGCAGUGGCGGUCCCGCCGCAGCUUCCAUCGCGUAGUAGCUAACACCUCGCGACUGGAGAGCGGCGCGGCCACGCCGUAAAACACCCAACUCUUCUGAAGUUGACCUCGAAUCAGGUAGGAAUACCCGCUGAACUUAAGCAUAUCAAUAAGCGGAGGA
Molecule: unclassified non-coding RNA, 352 nt
Filed under: soil metagenome
Description: partial contains 5.8S ribosomal RNA, internal transcribed spacer 2, and large subunit ribosomal RNA
Rfam family: 5.8S ribosomal RNA (bases 1-120)
Source: RNAcentral